This 418-nucleotide ribosomal RNA is filed under the name uncultured eukaryote. Its description in RNAcentral is "bacterial SSU rRNA". It matches the Rfam family "Eukaryotic small subunit ribosomal RNA", at positions 592 to 1017 of the family's 1831-position model. The record is from RNAcentral.
CAAUAGCGUAUAUUAAAGUUGUUGCAGUUAAAAGCUCGUAGUCGGAUUUUGGCAUCACGCCGAACUGUCUGCCGAUUGGUAAGUACGGUUUGGCGGGUGCUUCCUUCCGGAGGCUCGUUCCCUUCUUCAUUGAAGGGUUCGUUGGUUCCGGGUCUUUUACUUUGAGAAAAUUAGAGUGUUCAAAGCGGGCUUACGCUUGAAUAUUUCAGCAUGGAAUAACACUAUAGGACUCCUGUCCUAUUUCGUUGGUCUCGGGACGGGAGUAAUGAUUAAGAGGAACAGUUGGGGGCAUUCGUAUUUCAUUGUCAGAGGUGAAAUUCUUGGAUUUAUGAAAGACGAACUUCUGCGAAAGCAUUUGCCAAGGAUGUUUUCAUUAAUCAAGAACGAAAGUUGGGGGCUCGAAGACGAUCAGAUACCA